AAAUAUAUGUUAAGUGGAAAAGGAUGUGGCGUUGCCCAGACAACUAGGAUGUUGGCUUAGAAGCAGCCAUCAUUUAAAGAGUGCGUAAUAGCUCACUAGUCGAGUGACACUGCGCCGAAAAUGUACCGGGGCUAAACAUAUUACCGAAGCUGUGGAUUGUCCAUAGGACAAUGGUAGGAGAGCGUUCUAAGGGCGUUGAAGCAUGAUCGCAAGGACAUGUGGAGCGCUUAGAAGUGAGAAUGCCGGUGUGAGUAGCGAAAGACGGGUGAGAAUCCCGUCCACCGAUUGACUAAGGUUUCCAGAGGAAGGCUCGUCCGCUCUGGGU
This 325-nucleotide ribosomal RNA is filed under the name Staphylococcus haemolyticus. RNAcentral describes it as "partial 23S ribosomal RNA". It matches the Rfam family "Bacterial large subunit ribosomal RNA", at positions 1050 to 1380 of the family's 2925-position model. The record is from RNAcentral. Lineage: Bacteria; Bacillati; Bacillota; Bacilli; Caryophanales; Staphylococcaceae.